RNAcentral lists this unclassified non-coding RNA (196 nucleotides) under uncultured fungus. RNAcentral's name for it is "sequence contains ITS1". The record is from RNAcentral. Lineage: Eukaryota; Fungi.
UUAACUUAUUUGUUUGUGACUCAGACAAUAUAAAAAUCAAGAGUUUAGGGUCCUCUGGCAGGCGCAGACCAGCCUAGGCCAGUGGUCAUAAGACGGGCCUGCCAAAGCAACAAAGGUAAUAUAAACAAAGGGUGGGAGAUCUACCCCGGAGGGCAAUUUCUCUGUAAUGAUCCUUCCGCAGGUUCACCUACGGAAA